UACAGAGGUCCCAGCGUUGUUCGGAUUCACUGGGCGUAAAGGGUGCGUAGGUGGUUGGGUAAGUCCGAUGUGAAAUCUCCGAGCUUAACUCGGAAACAGCAUCGGAUACUAUUCGGCUUGAGGGGUGGAGGGGGGACUGGAAUUCUCGGUGUAGCAGUGAAAUGCGUAGAGAUCGAGAGGAACACCAGUGGCGAAGGCGAGUCCCUGGACAACUCCUGACACUGAGGCACGAAAGCUAGGGGAGCAAACAGG
Molecule: ribosomal RNA, 252 nt
Filed under: uncultured bacterium
Lineage: Bacteria
Description: partial 16S ribosomal RNA
Rfam family: Bacterial small subunit ribosomal RNA
Source: RNAcentral